UACAGAGGGGGCAAGCGUUGUCCGGAAUUACUGGGCGUAAAGAGCUCGUAGGUGGUUUGUCGCGUUGUCCGUGAAAACUCACAGCUUAACUGUGGGCGUGCGGGCGAUACGGGCAGACUGGAGUACUGCAGGGGAGACUGGAAUUCCUGGUGUAGCGGUGGAAUGCGCAGAUAUCAGGAGGAACACCGGUGGCGAAGGCGGAUCUCUGGGCCUGUCCUGACGCUCAGGCGCGAAAGCUAGGGGAGCAAACAGG
RNAcentral lists this ribosomal RNA (253 nucleotides) under uncultured bacterium. Its description in RNAcentral is "partial 16S ribosomal RNA". It matches the Rfam family "Bacterial small subunit ribosomal RNA", at positions 524 to 776 of the family's 1533-position model. The record is from RNAcentral.